RNAcentral lists this unclassified non-coding RNA (210 nucleotides) under Hevea brasiliensis (rubber tree). Lineage: Eukaryota; Viridiplantae; Streptophyta; Magnoliopsida; Malpighiales; Euphorbiaceae. The record is from RNAcentral.
AAACAAUUCACUGAAGAGCUGGUUGAUUAUGUGGAUCAUUUCAUUUCAAAAUCAAGUGAGGAGAACAGUUUGGAUUGUUCAGUUCUUUAUAUGGGUUUGAUGGAGAAAGUAAGAGCUAUGAUAGGAGUAGGAGGUAAAGUAGGUGAGGAAUGUGAAUCAUUGCAGAAGAUUCUGUGCAGAUGUUUGAAUUUUGACCCAGGGAGUCGCCCA